RNAcentral lists this ribosomal RNA (305 nucleotides) under uncultured bacterium. RNAcentral describes it as "bacterial SSU rRNA". It matches the Rfam family "Bacterial small subunit ribosomal RNA", at positions 336 to 639 of the family's 1533-position model. The record is from RNAcentral.
UUCCUACGGGGCGCAGCAGUGAGGAAUAUUGGUCAAUGGGAGAGAUCCUGAACCAGCCAAGCCGCGUGAGGGAAGACGGCCCUAUGGGUUGUAAACCUCUUUUGUAAGGGAGCAAAGGGCGCCACGUGUGGCGUUUUGCGAGUACCUGAAGAAAAAGCAUCGGCUAACUCCGUGCCAGCAGCCGCGGUAAUACGGAGGAUGCGAGCGUUAUCCGGAUUUAUUGGGUUUAAAGGGUGCGCAGGCGGAAUGUCAAGUCAGCGGUAAAAUUUCGGGGCUCAACCCAGUCGUGCCGUUGAAACUGGCGU